UACGUAGGGUGCGAGCGUUAAUCAAAAUUACUGGGCGUAAAGCGUGCGCAGGCGGUUCGUUGUGUCGGCGGUGAAAGCCCCGGGCUCAACCUGGGAAUGGCCGUUGAAACUGGCGAACUGGAGUGUGGCAGAGGGGGGUGGAAUUCCGCGUGUAGCAGUGAAAUGCGUAGAGAUGCGGAGGAACACCGAUGGCGAAGGCAGCCCCCUGGGCUGACACUGACGCUCAGGCACGAAAGCGUGGGGAGCAAACAGG
RNAcentral lists this ribosomal RNA (253 nucleotides) under uncultured bacterium. RNAcentral's name for it is "partial 16S ribosomal RNA". It matches the Rfam family "Bacterial small subunit ribosomal RNA", at positions 524 to 776 of the family's 1533-position model. The record is from RNAcentral.